Molecule: ribosomal RNA, 500 nt
Filed under: uncultured bacterium
Lineage: Bacteria
Description: bacterial SSU rRNA
Rfam family: Bacterial small subunit ribosomal RNA
Source: RNAcentral
AUUGAACGCUGGCGGCAGGCCUAACACAUGCAAGUCGAACGGUAACAGGAAGCAGCUUGCUGCUUGCUGACGAGUGGCGGACGGGUGAGUAAUGUCUGGGAAACUGCCUGAUGGAGGGGGAUAACUACUGGAAACGGUAGCUAAUACCGCAUAACGUCGCAAGACCAAAGAGGGGGACCUUCGGGCCUCUUGCCAUCAGAUGUGCCCAGAUGGGAUUAGCUUGUUGGUGGGGUAACGGCUCACCAAGGCGACGAUCCCUAGCUGGUCUGAGAGGAUGACCAGCCACACUGGAACUGAGACACGGUCCAGACUCCUACGGGAGGCAGCAGUGGGGAAUAUUGCACAAUGGGCGCAAGCCUGAUGCAGCCAUGCCGCGUGUAUGAAGAAGGCCUUCGGGUUGUAAAGUACUUUCAGCGGGGAGGAAGGUGUUGUGGUUAAUAACCACAGCAAUUGACGUUACCCGCAGAAGAAGCACCGGCUAACUCCGUGCCAGCAGCCGC